CCUUAACCCUCCUCCAGUAACACAACGCUGUGCUUUCACGCAAACGAGUGCAGCGUGAUCCACGGGCCCGCGUGGCUCAGUCUCCCCUCCUUCUGUUCAGUCAGCGCUCGCUGGGAAGAACCGAACUGUCACUGCUGUUUCCCAUCCUGAGCUGUGACGCCGGUGAACAACACGACCGCAAAUGGACGACGCAGUCAUCAAAAAACCAAUUGUGAUACCAGACGACUGGCCCGGUUACAGCCUGGAGCUGUUUUCUUACCCUGAACACUACCAUGAAGACAUAGACAGUGUUUACAUACCACAUGGGGUCAUCAUGAACAGGGUGGAGCGCCUGGCGCGCUACGUCAUGGACGACUUUGGGGACAGCAUCGUGGUGCUGUGCGUCUUGAAGGGAGGCUACAAGUUCUGUGUGGACCUGGUGGAGUUCAUCAAGGUCCUCGGCCGCAACUCCAACAAGUACCUGGAGACCCGGGUGGAGUUCAUCCGUCUGAAGAGCUACUUAAACGACCAAUCAACAGAGGAGCUGCAGAUCAUAGGAAGCCGAGAUCUGUCUUUCCUGCGCGGAAAGAGUGUGCUCAUUGUUGAGGCCAUAGUUGACACAGGAAAGACCAUGAAGGCCCUUCUGAAGCACGUGGAGACCUUUGAACCCAAGAUGGUCAAGGUCGCGGGUCUGCUGGUGAAGAGGGUCCCCAACAUGGCAGAAGAUCUGACGGACUAUGUUGGAUUUGAGAUCCCCAACCACUUUGUUGUUGGUUAUGCGUUGGACUACAACGAGUACUUCCGCGACCUGAACGUAAGUCGCCCGCUGCACCCGGACGUGACCUUUAACAGAGCUAAGAGAUGAAAGAGGCCCGAGGGAGUGGAGGGGUAAACACAGCAACAAAAGGUGAUGCGCUCGACCAGCUGAAAGCCAAACUCACCCGACAGGUAAACUCUGUGCUCUGCAGCAGGGCAGAGCAGCUCAAAUCCAAUAUCUCUGUCAGGGUGACCAAUUUUAUUUCGUCUGAUUUUCUAUAGAUACAGUGAUGAUAGUGUUGUUAUUUGCAAUUAUUGUGGCCACCAUCAUGCUUUUUCUUAUUGCUGUAUUGAAAAUCUAAUAUUGUGACAGACCCAGCUGUACUUACUACAGCUAGUAUGUAGUACAGCUAGUAAUUAGCAAAUGUUAGCAUGCUAGCACACUAAACUCAGACGCUGAACAUUAGCCGCUAAGCAUCAGCACGCCAGCUAUGUCCGUGUGCCGGUGUUAGCAUUUAGCUCAGGUUUUAGCCCUCAUGAAAAACCUACUGGGGUCAAAGUGAAAUGAUCACUUUCACCAUUUCUUCUCUUAUUUUUACAUUCCUCCACCAAGCAAAUAAAUCAUCCCCCUUUUUCCUCCCGAAAAGAAAGUCUGUCUUUUCUCCUCUAAACAUUUCCCUGGUGCCUCAAACCCGUCUUAAACCUCCACGACAUUUGCGCCAGGAGUGCAACCAAUCUUUUCUUUGCUGCACCCAUGACACCUUAGUUCAUGCCAGAUUUCUCAGCCUGAAAAUUAGUGAGCGUAAACUUAUGUGAACUUCUUAUGUGAAGAUGUGGCCUCAAAUCUACCUCUGAUUCAUGAGGAACACGAUGCCAGGACCGACUCCCAUAGUGUGUGUGUGUGUAAUAUAUGUACUGUACGGUUGUGUGUGUGUGUGUGUGUUGGAGGGGGCUGGUAUUCUGUACGAAAGUUAGGAAAGGGGGGGGGGGGCGACCUGUGGAAUGUGGAGGUUAGUGUCUCAUUAUCGGCCAGGGUUAAAGCUUCCCUUCUUAUCUCUCCUUAUCCGACCGAAGAAAUAUGAGUUGAACCUUUGUGACGCCCAAAGUUAGAUUAAUGAAUGUGUCAUAACUUUGAUUACCUUUCCUGCUUUGAAAUGAUUGCGGGCUACAUAUUUUUGUACCGCAUAUAACAUGUUGAGAACAUACUGGAACUCCCCAUAGGGCCGGGGGGGGGGGGGUAGAACAAAUAUUUUCUUGUCAUCAGAUGCAACGUUUUCGGUGUAAUCUGAAAUUACGCACGCUGAUUUCUCUUCCUCUCUCAGCAUAUCUGCGUCAUCAGCAAGAUCGGGAAGAUGAAGUACAAGGUUUGAGAACAGGAACAAAGCAAUGGAUGAAUAAAACGGAGGCCACGCUGGCCGCCAGGAGAGGACUGCUGGUGACAGAUGGAGGCAGCUUAUGGACGUUGGCAUCGCUGUGCCCGGAUGACGCCCCCUCUGACUCAUGGAAAACACACAGCGUCUCCUCGCCACCCUGUGUCUGUUUGUUCACAACUUAAAUCAGCCCCGACUGGAAAUACAUGAGGAUUUUGUAAAAAAAAAAUAUGUCUGUUGAUUGUGAACUUUUUUAUAUGCAAACUCAAAGAUGUGACCUAUUAAAACUGGCUCCUUUAGGUAAA
This is a non-coding RNA of Gasterosteus aculeatus aculeatus (three-spined stickleback), 2410 nucleotides long. Lineage: Eukaryota; Metazoa; Chordata; Actinopteri; Perciformes; Gasterosteidae. The record is from RefSeq and is a predicted model, not a curated record.